UAGGUCCCUCCAUCAUCAUGAUUCUGUAAGAUUUUUCCAUUGAUUUCUAAGAACCAAACAAACCAAGACUCUACACACGUUGUCCACUAAAAGCUACUUUAAUUCAGACCUUUUAAAAAAAUUGAACAGAUCUGAAUGGAAUGGAGGUCCAAUUGAAUGACACUAUCUUCAAAGUGAACUGCAGGUUCCACGAAGGAACGUAUGCUGGAAGCAAACGGGGUUGACUAUAAGAAACGAAGAGUGAAAGAGUCAUUUGCUUCGAUUCCCUUCAUCAAAUCUUGUUUCCUUCGAUGGCCUCUCCCCUGUCUUGCGUGUUGAUGGUGUGUGCUAAGGCGAUUGAAGGUGAUCGCUUGGAUGUUGCAGAUUUUCUUUUGGCAGAAAUUCAAUCUCUAGCUUCUAAAGAGGAGAGCAUAUGGACGAGGAAAAUUGUCAAAUACUUUGCUGAGGCUCUUGUCCGGCGAGCCUAUCGAAUUCGUCCUCCUUGUACUUUUCCCUUGCUACUACCCGGAUACAUGUAUAAACCUUUCUGCGAGUUUGCUAGAAUCACCAGUAAACAUGCCAUUGCCGAUCAUGCCUUGAAUUCGGGAAAUAAAGGACUCCACAUUAUUGACUUCUCCAUCAAGUUCAAUUUUCGGCAGUGGAAAGAUUUAAUUGAAGACCUCAAAAGGCAGUAUGGUGGCCUACAAUCUGUCCUGAUAACCAGUAUCGCACCGAAACUGUCAAAACACUCUUACCAUCUCCGUCAAAACCGGGAAUGGGCUGAGCACAAAAAUUUGGAAUUGAGGCAAUUGAUAUGCAAUAGUCCGGAUGAUAUUGUCAAUUGUAUUUCCAAACUCAGAAGGAAAAGGGAGGAUGAGAUUGUGGUUGUGAAUUGGAAUUUUACACUCCACAAAUUGCUUGCACAAGAUGGGGCAACGGAGCAAGUGCUUUCAAAAGUGAAGGAUUUGGGAGCGGACAUCAUGGUAAUUGUUGAGCAAGAAGCCAAUCUUAACAGCCCUCAUCUUUCGAAGCGGCUCGAACAAUCAUUCCAAUACUACUCCCCUUGUUUUAAGGCACUGGAGGAAGAUUGUGAUAGACAUGUGUUCAUGGAGAUGUAUUUCAGGCGACAGAUUGGGAAUGUGGUGGCAUGUGAGGGCGUUGACCGGGUCGAGCGGAUUGAGUCAUUUGCUCACUGGCAAAAUCGCCUAUCUCAGGCUGGGUUUUGUCCAGUUCCCCAACAGGUAGACAAGUUCGAUGAAGAGUUUGUAAUCGAAGAGAAUGAAGGGCAUAAUAUCUUGCUAAGUCGGCACGGUUGUCCGCUAGCUGUAGCCUCAGUUUGGAAGCUCACUGAUCCACCUCAAUUCAGUGGCGGUCUUUACACAAUGCAAGAUACAGUUGAUGACUCAGAAGGGAUGUCGAGCUCCCCUGAGUCUGAGGAUGAUGAAGAAAAUGAUUCUCUAGUUCGCAUAAUGGCAGAUAGAAACUUAUGGUCCACACAGACACAGGGCUCUUCAAUGAAUCGAAUAGCUGCUUCAGCUAAGUUAUUUGACAUAUUGGAAUAUAUAUGUGAUCUACAUAGGUUAGAACUGGGUGUGACAUGGAUUUCCUAUGGCCAAGAUGGUAAUACAAAUUCAAAGGGAAAGCGUAUUCUAUGUAUUGAUGAUAGCGCUUGCUAUGUAAAUAAUUGGGUUAUGGCAAAAUUUGUGGAUGAAUAUGCACGACAUCGUCUCGAGGAAGGACAAGUAGCUCUUGGAUCAGAAAAUGGUAUGCUGCUUUUGCUAUAAGGCUAACAAGUACCCACCCUUGCAAGGAUGAUUACGUACUGGAAUUUCUUCUCCCUGUAGACAUGACAGACAGAACAGAACUUUUGAUAAAUAAGGUCUUGCGUACAUUGCAGAGGAAAUGUUUAAAGUUGUGGGAAGUUAGUGUCAGAGAAGUAAAUGAGGCGAGUGGCUCUGAAGUUAGAUUGGAUGAUGAAAGAAUGCCAAACAUCCCACAUGAAGAAACACGCGAGCCUCUUGAACA
This is an RNA transcript of Populus trichocarpa (black cottonwood), 2004 nucleotides long. It is a transcript of the gene named DELLA protein GAIP, with no coding region annotated. The transcript is spliced from 6 exons. The record is from RefSeq and is a predicted model, not a curated record. NCBI's taxonomy places the organism in Eukaryota, Viridiplantae, Streptophyta, Magnoliopsida, Malpighiales, Salicaceae.